AUACGUAGGUGACAAGCGUUAUCCGGAUUUACUGGGCGUAAAGGGCGUGUAGGCGGUCUUGCAAGUCAGAAGUGAAAUUCCUGAGCUCAACUCGGGCGCUGCUUCUGAAACUGCAGGACUUGAGUGCUGGAGGGGAUAGCGGAAUUCCUAGUGGAGCGGUAAAAUGCGCAGAUAUUAGGAAGAACACCGGUGGCGAAGGCGGCUAUCUGGACAGUAACGGACGCGGAGGCGCGAAAGCGUGGGGAGCAAACAGGAUUAGAUACCCUGGUAGUCCACGCUGUAAACGAUGAAUACUAGGUGUAGGGGGUAUCGACUCCCCCUGUGCCGCAGCUAACGCAUUAAGUAUUCCACCUGAGUAGUACGGUCGCAAGACUGAAACUCAAAUGAAUUGACGGGG
RNAcentral lists this ribosomal RNA (397 nucleotides) under uncultured bacterium. RNAcentral describes it as "partial 16S ribosomal RNA". It matches the Rfam family "Bacterial small subunit ribosomal RNA", at positions 523 to 918 of the family's 1533-position model. The record is from RNAcentral.